AGGACGAACGCUGGCGGCGUGCUUAACACAUGCAAGUCGAGCGGAAAGGCCCUUCGGGGUACUCGAGCGGCGAACGGGUGAGUAACACGUGAGCAACCUGCCCUUAGCUUCGGGAUAGCUCCGGGAAACCGGAAUUAAAUACCGAAUAUGAUUUUUGCUGACAUCAGCAGAAGUGGAAAGUUUUUCGGCUAGGGAUGGACUCGCGGCCUAUCAGCUAGUUGGUGAGGUAACGGCCCACCAAGGCGACG
This 248-nucleotide ribosomal RNA is filed under the name uncultured bacterium. RNAcentral describes it as "partial small subunit ribosomal RNA". It matches the Rfam family "Bacterial small subunit ribosomal RNA", at positions 26 to 278 of the family's 1533-position model. The record is from RNAcentral.